AACGAACGCUGGCGGCGCGUCUUACCCAUGCAAGUCGAGCGGCAGGCAGCAAUGCCGAGAGCGGCGGACUGGUGAGUAACACGUGGAUAACGUACCCCGAUGUCCGGGACAGCCUGUAGAAAUAGAGGGUAAUACCGGAUAGAUCACUGUUUACGUGAGGUAGACAGCGGGAAAGGAGCUUCGGCUCCGCGCCGGGAUCGGUCUGCGGCCCAUCAGCUGGACGGCGGGGUAAAGGCCCGCCGUGGCGAGGACGGGUAUCCGGCCUGAGAGGGCGGACGGACACAUUGGGACUGAGAUACGGCCCAGACUCCUACGGGAGGCAGCAGGUAAGAAUAUUCCGCAAUGGGGGGAACCCUGACGGAGCGACGCCGCGUGAACGAAGAAGGCCGGAAGGUUGUAAAGUUCUUUUCUGUCCGAGGAAUAAGUUUCGGAGGAAAUGCCGGGACGGUGACGGUAGGGCAGGAAUAAGCACCGGCUAAUUACGUG
Molecule: ribosomal RNA, 486 nt
Filed under: uncultured bacterium
Lineage: Bacteria
Description: partial 16S ribosomal RNA
Rfam family: Bacterial small subunit ribosomal RNA
Source: RNAcentral